UCCUAGCGGUCCAAGUCGCAGCCAACAUUAUUGGGUCUAAAAUAUCCGUAGCUUGCUAAGUAAGUUCCUUGUGAAAUCCUAUAUCUUAAGUAUGGGGCGUGCAAGGAGUACUGCUAAGCUAGAGACCGGAAGACGUAAGAAGUACGUUCGAAGUAACGGUAAAAUAGUGUUAAUCUCGGACGGACUUACAAUAGCGAAGGCAUC
RNAcentral lists this ribosomal RNA (204 nucleotides) under uncultured bacterium. RNAcentral describes it as "partial 16S ribosomal RNA". It matches the Rfam family "Archaeal small subunit ribosomal RNA", at positions 474 to 676 of the family's 1478-position model. The record is from RNAcentral.